This 251-nucleotide ribosomal RNA is filed under the name uncultured bacterium. RNAcentral's name for it is "partial 16S ribosomal RNA". It matches the Rfam family "Archaeal small subunit ribosomal RNA", at positions 474 to 727 of the family's 1478-position model. The record is from RNAcentral.
UACCAGCACCCCGAGUGGUCGGGACGUUUAUUGGGCCUAAAGCAUCCGUAGCCGGUUCUACAAGUCUUCCGUUAAAUCCACCUGCUUAACAGAUGGGCUGCGGAAGAUACUAUGGAGCUAGGAGGCAGGAGAGGCAAGCGGUACUCAGUGGGUAGGGGUAAAAUCCGUUGAUCCAUUGAAGACCACCAGUGGCGAAGGCGGCUUGCCAGAAUGCGCUCGACGGUGAGGGAUGAAAGCUGGGGAGCAACCGG